RNAcentral lists this ribosomal RNA (499 nucleotides) under uncultured bacterium. Its description in RNAcentral is "bacterial SSU rRNA". It matches the Rfam family "Bacterial small subunit ribosomal RNA", at positions 30 to 526 of the family's 1533-position model. The record is from RNAcentral.
AUUGAACGCUGGCGGCAUGCCUUACACAUGCAAGUCGAACGGUAACAGGUCUUCGGAUGCUGACGAGUGGCGAACGGGUGAGUAAUACAUCGGAACGUGCCCGAUCGUGGGGGAUAACGCAGCGAAAGCUGUGCUAAUACCGCAUACGAUCUACGGAUGAAAGCGGGGGAUCGCAAGACCUCGCGCGGACGGAGCGGCCGAUGGCAGAUUAGGUAGUUGGUGGGAUAAAAGCUUACCAAGCCGACGAUCUGUAGCUGGUCUGAGAGGACGACCAGCCACACUGGGACUGAGACACGGCCCAGACUCCUACGGGAGGCAGCAGUGGGGAAUUUUGGACAAUGGGGGAAACCCUGAUCCAGCCAUGCCGCGUGCAGGAUGAAGGCCUUCGGUUGUAAACUGCUUUGUACGGAACGAAAGGUACUUUCUAAUAAAGAAGGCGUCAUGACGGUACCGUAAGAAUAAGCACCGGCUAACUACGUGCCAGCAGCCGCGGUAAACU